GACGAACGCUGGCGGCGUGCUUAACACAUGCAAGUCGAACGGUAAGGCCCUUCGGGGUACACGAGUGGCGAACGGGUGAGUAACACGUGGGUGAUCUGCCCUGCACUUCGGGAUAAGCCUGGGAAACUGGGUCUAAUACCGGAUAGGACCACUGCCUGCAUGGGUGGUGGUGGAAAGCUUUUGCGGUGUGGGAUGGGCCCGCGGCCUAUCAGCUUGUUGGUGGGGUGAUGGCCUACCAAGGCGACGACGGGUAGCCGGCCUGAGAGGGUGACCGGCCAAACUGGGACUGAGAUACGGCCCAGACUCCUACGGGAGGCAGCAGGGGGGAAUAUUGCACAAUGGGCGCAAGCCUGAUGCAGCGACGCCGCGUGAGGGAUGACGGCCUUCGGGUUGUAAACCUCUUUCAGCACCGACGAAGCGCAAGUGACGGUAGGUGCAGAAGAAGGACCGGCCAACUACGUGCCAGCAGCCGCCGUAA
This 478-nucleotide ribosomal RNA is filed under the name uncultured bacterium. RNAcentral describes it as "partial 16S ribosomal RNA". It matches the Rfam family "Bacterial small subunit ribosomal RNA", at positions 28 to 523 of the family's 1533-position model. The record is from RNAcentral.